RNAcentral lists this long non-coding RNA (212 nucleotides) under Nicotiana benthamiana. RNAcentral's name for it is "long non-coding RNA (NBEN_LNC003425)". The record is from RNAcentral. Lineage: Eukaryota; Viridiplantae; Streptophyta; Magnoliopsida; Solanales; Solanaceae.
ACCCCUUGUUCUUCCAAAAGUAUUGGGAUUCAGUAGGUGAGUCUGUCUCCCAAUUUUGUCUAAAUUGUUUCAGCACAUCCACAAUGGACAGCACCGUGAACCAAACUCUGGUUUUUAUAAUACCAAAAGUCCCCCAAACAUCAAUGUUGAAUACCUUCAGGCAUAAAUUGGCCUUUGUAACACCAUUUACAAGACAAUUACAAAGAUCAUUG